AUUGAACGCUGGCGGCAGGCCUAACACAUGCAAGUCGAGCGGAUGAAGGGAGCUUGCUCCUGGAUUCAGCGGCGGACGGGUGAGUAAUGCCUAGGAAUCUGCCUGGUAGUGGGGGAUAACGUCCGGAAACGGGCGCUAAUACCGCCUACGUCCUGAGGGAGAAAGUGGGGGAUCUUCGGACCUCACGCUAUCAGAUGAGCCUAGGUCGGAUUAGCUAGUUGGUGGGGUAAAGGCCUACCAAGGCGACGAUCCGUAACUGGUCUGAGAGGAUGAUCAGUCACACUGGAACUGAGACACGGUCCAGACUCCUACGGGAGGCAGCAGUGGGGAAUAGUGGACAAUGGGCGAAAGCCUGAUCCAGCCAUGCCGCGUGUGUGAAGAAGGUCUUCGGAUUGUAAAGCACUUUAAGUUGGGAGGAAGGGCAGUAAGUUAAUACCUUGCUGUUCUGACGUUACCAACAGAAUAAGCACCGGCUAACUUCGUG
This 484-nucleotide ribosomal RNA is filed under the name uncultured bacterium. Its description in RNAcentral is "partial 16S ribosomal RNA". It matches the Rfam family "Bacterial small subunit ribosomal RNA", at positions 30 to 507 of the family's 1533-position model. The record is from RNAcentral.